GACGAACGCUGGCGGCGUGCUUAACACAUGCAAGUCGAACGGAAAGGCCCUGCUUUUGCGGGGUGCUCGAGUGGCGAACGGGUGAGUAACACGUGAGUAACCUGCCCUUGACUUUGGGAUAACUUCAGGAAACUGGGGCUAAUAACGGAUAGGAGCUCCUGCUGCAUGGUGGGGGUUGGAAAGUUUCGGCGGUUGGGGAUGGACUCGCGGCUUAUCAGCUUGUUGGUGGGGUAGUGGCUUACCAAGGCUUUGACGGGUAGCCGGCCUGAGAGGGUGACCGGCCACAUUGGGACUGAGAUGCGGCCCAGACUCCUACGGGAGGCAGCAGUGGGGAAUAUUGCACAAUGGGCGGAAGCCCGAUGCAGCAACGCCGCGUGCGGGAUGACGGCCUUCGGGUUGUAAACCGCUUUCGCCUGUGACGAAGCGUGAGUGACGGUAAUGUGUAAAGAAGCACCGGCUAACUACGUG
Molecule: ribosomal RNA, 468 nt
Filed under: uncultured bacterium
Lineage: Bacteria
Description: partial 16S ribosomal RNA
Rfam family: Bacterial small subunit ribosomal RNA
Source: RNAcentral